AGCGAACGCUGGCGGCAGGCCUAACACAUGCAAGUCGAACUGAUCCUUCGGGAUUAGUGGCGGACGGGUGAGUAACACGUGGGAACGUGCCCUUUGGUUCGGAACAACUCAGGGAAACUUGAGCUAAUACCGGAUGUGCCCUUCGGGGGAAAGAUUUAUCGCCAUUGGAGCGGCCCGCGUCUGAUUCGGUAGUUGUUGAGGUAAAGGCUCACCAAGGCGACGAUCAGUAGCUGGUCUGAGAGGAUGAUCAGGAACAGUGGGACUGAGACACGGCCCAAACUCCGACGGGAGGCAGCAGUGGGGAAUCUUGCGCAAUGGGCGAAAGCCUGACGCAGCCAUGCCGCGUGAAUGAUGAAGGUCUUAGGAUUGUAAAAUUCUUUCGCCAGGGGACGAUAAUGACGGUACCCGGAGAAGAAGCCCCGGCUAACUUCGUUCCAGCCGCCGCCGUAA
This 450-nucleotide ribosomal RNA is filed under the name uncultured bacterium. Its description in RNAcentral is "partial 16S ribosomal RNA". It matches the Rfam family "Bacterial small subunit ribosomal RNA", at positions 29 to 523 of the family's 1533-position model. The record is from RNAcentral.